UCCACAAUUGAGCUGUAGAAAUCAGAAUCUUCAUAAAAAUACAGUUAUUAUUUCAGGAUUGCCCUAAAGAUAUUUAUUUUUGUAGCAUUGUCUUGAAACAGCACGAUUUCAGUUUGAACAUAAGUAAAUCAAGACCAAAUUCCGAAUAUUAGAAAGAAGUAGAAGAUUUCAGCAACUGAAAUUGACAGAAUGCUUAGGGACCCCUUCUGUUUCACAAUUGAGCUGUAGAAAUCAAAAUCAUCAUGAAAAUACAGUUAUUAUUUCAGGAUUUUUUGAAUAUCCUAUUUUACGGCCCUUCUUCUUCCACUGCAUUAACAUCUAGGAUAAUAACACUAGAAAAUGAACAAAUUGCAAACAAUGCUAAAGAUUCAUAUCAUAAACAAAUUAAAUAUGUUGACUGAAGUGUCCAAUUUUCUAAAUGGAUAAAAAGUCAAGGACCUCCUAAAGAAAUCCCCACAUCAAUAAAUCCAUACUUCAAUAAAAAAUAUCUUCCUUUACACCUUAAUGGUGAAAUCUAUUCAAAGGAGGACUAAUUCUAAAAUCCUUACCGGGAAAUGAAACACUGCUGAAAAUUAAACACAUCCAAGGCAUCAUGGUGAAUUAAAGGCAUCAUGGUGACUUUGGUGCACAAUUUUUCUCAGGGGUGAUGUAUAUAUGUGUGUGUGUGUAUGCCGAAAGACCUGUUUGAACAAGUAAUCAGAGUUCACAAGAUUAAAACGCAAUUAAAUCAAUUAAAAAGAAGAUAAAAAACCCCCAUUUUAAUUGGUAUGGAUAGCAUUUCAUUGGCAUGGAUAGCAUUUGAAGGUCAUCAUAGACAUCUAUUCUUCAAUCAGCAAAAACCUUCCUGAACGAAGCACUCAACUUGGCCUCUGACUAUUACAACAUCACAACUAAUGAUAGAAACAUCAUUGCACACAAAAAGUAACAUUGGAAAAAGAAAAACAACACCACAUUUGAUGUUACAAUGGACAGCUAUGACGGCAAAAAUAUGGAAGCUGGUUUGAAGCUUCCUGUUUUUUAACUAUAAGACCUUGAUACAGCAUAUGACUAUACACUUACAUGACAAAGUAUUAGGACAAUGAAUAACAAAAUGGCGGCUCCAAAACUAGCAUUCUAACAAUAUCAAUGUGUUAUUUUCAAUGCCAAAAACACAAAAGCAGCAAGAAGAAGAAUGCGAAGUAAUAAAAUAUUUGGGUCUAACGAGUCAUUUGUUUGCUGAAACUACAAGAAAAUUUGGUUGCAGUAAGUCUACAACACAAAUUAUUUACAAGAACAAUAAGUUAACAAUUGAUGUCCCAGGCAAGUACAGAAACAAAUGAAGAUUCUUUGCAUAGACCAUUCAUUUUUAAGCAAGAUAAUAAAUCUAGCUAUUAGUACAUAGGGCACUUGUCAAAACAUUAGUACAUAGGGCAUUUAUGAUCUGCUCGAAAUCUAAACUGCACGCUGAACUGGAAAAACUCAAAACGAUCUUCUUGGACAACGGCUAUCCUGAAGACGUCAUUUUAUCUUAUACUAAGGAGAAGAUCGCAAGUUUUUCGGCUGUUCAAAAGUUUGGUCCGCAAAAGUGCCCAGUUUAUUUGAAACUACCAUGGAUUGGUAACACUUCCUUGCGAUUCGAGAGUCAAAUUAGGCAAGCCAUAACCAAUUGUUUCUUUGCUGUCAAUCCUCGGAUUGUUUACAGCACUAGGAGAGCCCUUCCAUCCAUUCAAAAGGAUUGCGUCCCUACCAAACAAAAAAGUUCCGUCAUUUAUGAAUUUACGUGCCAGUGUGAUUCUGGCUACGUAGGGCGCACAACCCAAAGAUUGGGGGAUAGGAUAAAACAGCAUGUUCCUUCCAACAUACGAAACAAAACUGCCCCUCAAAGAGAACAGCCUCCUCGAUCUUGUAGGUCUAGAAACACUGUUAAAACAAGUGAUUCUGCCAUUGGUCAACAUCUUUUAGACAACCCAGAUUGUGCAAAACUCUAUAAUGACGACAUGUUUCGGAUAAUUGGCAGAGCCCGGUCGUCCUUCCAUCUAGCAGUUUUGGAGUCAAUCUACAUAAAAACGAAAAAGCCGCCAUUGUGUAGACAAAAGGAGUUCGUUUUCUCUCUUGGACUCCAUUGGUAAUUUUUCUUUAGGCUCGCGGCACUGAUUGGUCAACUAUACCGGUCUUGUGCUUGCGUUUUUCUGAUUGGCCUAUUUCGAUCCACAACUGGGUAUAUAUUUUUCAAACAUGUUUUUCGGAACCUAUUCUGACGUUUUAUGCUCUGAGGAGUGUCAGACGAAAAAGCUUUAAGUAUGUUGUAAAAUGUUUGCUUUUUUCAAAGCCAUUUUCAAAUUCUGUACCGCAAAAAAAUUGUUCAAAUCUAGCUAUGUUGCAAUUGUGACAACAAUUUUUAAAAUAAGCCUUGAUUCAAUUGGAAUUUUAAAAAUAAGCCAAGGAUAGAUGGGAAGGCCAAUAAGCAAUAAAUCCAGUCAUAUUGACUCUUGCAAAUCAAUCAAAAUAUUUUCCCUGGUUGUUGUGCUUGGCAAGAUUUGUAUUGGAACCGAUUGUUUCCUCAGUACAGUUGUUUAUUCAGAAAUUGACACUGGCUGCCACAUCCUAAAAAAUCACAACUUGCGUUGCUUUGCUGGGAAAGACUUUGGCUAAAAGGUUGCUCUUUAUAGCUAUUGUAGGGGUUUCCCUUGAAAGUCUUCCCAACCUUGUUUGAUUCUUCAGCUUCCUCUAGGUGCUUAUUGAAAUCGUCACCAAAAAGGUAGGGACCAUGUGGGAUUUCAGAAAUGGAGGAGAAAAGCGCUUGAUACUCCUGUCUUUGAAGGGGCUCCAUAUUGCUUUGUCUAAGAGACGAGAUAUUUCCAGUCAGGUGACCUAGCAGUUCAAUUGCAUCCAAUGACAGGGAGACAUGUUGUACCUUUGUUGACCUUCAUAGGAUGCAGUGACGUACAGUUAGCUGGUUUUUGUAUUUAUUGAGAUUUUUUGUAUUGGUUAGCGUCUUUUCCCAACGCGUUUUAAUUAUCUUGGCCAAUUUAUCAUUUACCUUAGUGCAGAGAUAGUCAGAGGUUUCAAGAGCUUUGUUUAAGCCAUCAAGAAGUUGAGAUGUGUCUGGUUCUGCUGAAGUUGAUGGCCCUGUCGGCUCACUUUGUUUAUUGGCCUUAGUUUUUUCUAAUAGAUCUUGGGCAUCACCCAGAAGUGAAUCAGUAUGGUCAUCUGCAUGAAUGCUAAGGUGUUCAUCAAUGUUAUAAUCAUUUGUAACAUUACACUUUUAUGGUGGCUUGGAUGCGUCAGGGUCUGAUAAAUGUAGUUUAUUGUUUGGGUUUACUCUGGAGGACGAUGAAGCGAAAUGCCUAGUGGCAAAGUAAGACGUCUGGUGGACAUGAGGCUCAUUCCGGUCGAAAUGUGAUGAUCAGGCUGGUGGCCAAUUGCCAAACUAGCAUGAAAAUUGAUAGAGAAGAGCCGCCAUGUUACCCAUAUUUGUAGUUAUCCCUUAAAAAAGUUUUGUUAAAAGAUGGUCCUCAGACCCCUUCCAUCCUCAGACACAGUUUUGUUCUCUGACUCUCACAUUUCUUGAGAACUAUGCAUCAAAAUUUAAAUUUUUGAUUUUUCCCAAAUCAACUAGAAAUUGAAAUAUUGUAAACUUGCCAAUCUUUCACAAAUUUGGAAGAUUGUGAAAUGCAUUGUGAUGACUCGCAGCAGAGUCCGCAAUGUCUUGUAGCGCAUGCGCCGGCAUCUCAUUUGAUAACAUAGUGAUGUAGCUGAUUAUAGAGGAGAAUUUCUUGUAGAGGCAAAGAAUCCUCCUCCAAUUUCCAUUUUUGUCAUCAUUCAACGCGAAGAGCACUAAAAUAAGUCCACACUUUGAACAUCGAGCCAGGUGAUCUUCUGGAAGUUGAUUGCUCUGUAUGUUUGCAUCCUCGGUGUUUUCAUUCAUACCAGAAGAACACUGGGGAAUCACAUUUUAAAUUUGCUGCUAACUGCUUCUUCACUUUUAUCCCUCCCUGCAUCUUCCAAAUAACUUUAGAUGACUUCUUCAAAUUUUUUGACUUUUUAUAACAUUUUUCCCAAUGCGAGCAUUUGUUCCCUUAAUGAGACUAGGUUCUGAUGUACUUUGCCAUACUCUUUGCAUUUCCAGUUAUCCUCUUGAGAGUUUCAGUCAGCAGCGAUAGUUAGCAGAGCAUUACUAUCUACAGUUAUAUCAAUAAUUAAAUCUAUAAUAUCCUAUGCCAGUCCAAGGUUGUUAACAUUUUCAUUCAAGGUCUUCCUUUACUUCUUCUUAGGCAGCAAUAGAGAGCCACCUAAGAUCUGUGAAUGUUCAUUGAAAACCAAAAGAUGCAUGUAUGUCCUUUACUGGGUUGAUGGGAUAAUUUUUGACAUUCAGAAAGUUUUGUACUGCAAAUAGAUAUCCCGGUUACAAGCUGACGGGGUAUCAUAAAGAAUGUUCCAUUUAACCUAUGACAUAAAACAUUUAAUUAUGUUUUAACUAAAAUUUUAUCUAUUUCAAAUAGUUGAUAAACAAUGAUUGAUGUCAAACAUGUUCAAAUUUAAAUUUGACACAAAAAAUCUAAAUUCUGCAAAAUGUUUGGUAUUAGGCAGUAAAUCUCACUGAUUCUAUAUCUGCAAAUAUUUGCUCAAAGUUCAUAAGUUCCAUAAGGGCCAUAAGUUCAUUUUUGAGAGAUUUGAGUUACAAGAGGUUUUGCGAAAAGAGUCUCUGAAGAGUGAUGCAUUCUGUUGUGCUAUUGUAUGGAUGACAGUCACGAAACCCAUGAUCUGCGUACACACUGAAAGAAAAAUAGCGAAGUGAAAUAAAUGAGCCAAUAACCCAGUAGGUCAGAGCGACAAGAUUACUUCUCGGGUAUUUGUUCGCUGCGAGUGGAAAGAAAAACAGCAUUUGACAUCAAUUAUUUAAUAUCGCUUAAAUUUCUUACUUAAUGUCCCGACAGCACAUUCAAUACAGCAUCUUGCCAGGAUAAUCUGUAGUUGAAAAUAGUCUUCUCAUUUGUCAAAUUUGCACUUGGGAAUGGACGCAUUAUAUUGGGUUGUAAUGAAUAAGCUUCAUCCACCAAAAUAACCAGAGGCAAAUUCCUUUCAGAUUUUUUCAGUCUUUGAUUUGUCGAUAACUCGAAAAUAUCAUUUUGUAAACGUCUGUAGAAACUAGAUUCUCGUCACUUUGCUUUCCUCUAGCCCCUACAUUUAUAGCUAGGAAUCGACACUGCAUCUGCCAAACCCUGGAGAAUGAUAGAAAUAUACUGCUUAUAAUUGUAGAAAAGUGAACCAGAUUUUGAGAGGCAUACUUAAUUCGGAUAUGUUUUCCAUCAAUGCAGCCAAAGCAGUUUGGAAAGCUCAUCUUUUAUAAAAUUUCUGAACGACAUCCAAAAAAUCUUAUAAUACUGGCAUAUGUUUAAAUGUUCUCAGAAACUUGCUUCACAACUGACAAAACGGUUGACGUUCCCAUCCUGAAUUUAUAUCCAAGCGAAUGCCACAAACCUGAAAAAAUGUAGAGUAUAAAUAUCUAUGGUUGGCCUAAUUAAGAUUUUUCUGUUCUCUGAGUUGUAAGGGGGUGGGGGACAUUUGAACUGUAUCAGUUGAAAAAUAUUUUGCGAAAAGAAAAUUCGAAGGUUUGCAAGAUACUUUCAGGAGAGAGCUGGAAAAGGCACUCAAAAGAAACUCUGGUGAUGCUGGUUUUCCACCAGACCAAUAUGAAAGUAUGUGGCCUCAGUCCUUGUUUUUCCCGAAAGAUCAAAUGGUAGGAAGAGCUUCUUCAGGAAACGUCUCAACACCCUACUUUAAAAAGUCCAAUUGACCUCAGUGAUGACCAAGAAUCCAUUGACAAUGAAGCCUCACUGCUAGAAGAUCACAGAGAUGGGAGCUACUCGACAUUGUCAACCCCUGGCUCUUCAAGUCUUUCACGGCAGUCAAAUUGGUGUGCGAUGCGUGUCAACAGUAUUAGAAACGUAUUUUGGAUGCUCCAGAAAGUGGCAUUUUAGUUCGAUAUUACUUCGUUUUUCUUUAUGAAGAUGCCUAUUCAAGAACAAAUUGCUGAUUUACCGGAAAAGGAGUGAAUCAAUGAAGCAAUCAACAAGAUAGAAAAAAAAUUUGAUUUAAAAUGUCAAGAAUAUGACCAAAUAAAUGAAAAUCUUGAGGAAAGGGUUGACCAACUGGAGGGUCUUGUGAAAGUUAGUAAGCAAUUUGAAGCAAGAAUUGAUUGACAGCGAACGGUAUAGUCAUGAAUGUCCCUGAGAAUCAAUGGUGUCCAAAUGCAAAGCUGCAACGCCAAGGAAGACUGUGUGGAAAAGGUUCACGAGCUAAUCAAGGAGACAGGUAUCGAUUUGGGUGUAAGGAAUGGAACUUCUGCAUUUUUGAGGAUGGGAUAAAAGUAGUCAAGAAAGCAGUAUGAAUCUGAUUUCUUAUUGAAGAUAGAGGUAGAAAUAGAGUUGUUUUUGAUGGUGAGCAGGAUGUCAAAAAAGGGUACACUGUACUAGGAGAUGGUGUGUGUGAAUUGACGCACUGGAUGGAAAUUCCUAGUGUAGUUGAUGAAAUUUUGUACACAUGCAAGUGGUAAUGACGUAGCUCCCACAAUAUCAUAAAUGUAUCUCCUGAAUAGGCAAGAGAAAGGACCAUCAUGUGAACUGUAGAUCAAGUGUGCCUGGUAUCCAACAAAAAGGCAUGCAUAGCUAGGACCAAGAUUACUUCCCAUAGCGAUAUAAGUUGUUUGAAGGUGAAAAUCGCCAUUGAACGAAAUGCAUUCGUAGUUAACACAAGCUUGGCUAAACAAAGAAGAGUGUUGGUAGGUGGGUUUUGUUUAGGGCGUUGAUCGAGAAAAAACUUUAGUGCUUCUAAUCCAUCAGCAUGAGAAAUGCAUGUAUAAAGGGAUUAAUGUCGAUUGUAAAUAAAUAUCUGUUGGGGCCUUCAAAUUUAAAAUCCUUGAAAAGAAGCAGGUCAUGGGAUGUAUCUUUGACAAACGUAGGCAGUUGUUGGUUGAUGGGUGUAAAUAUGCCAUCAGAGUAGGCUGCAAUUUGUGAUGUUGGACAGGAGACGGCUGAUACAAUAGGUCGGCCAGGGUUAUCAGGUUUGUGUAUCUUUGGGAGCAUAUAGAAAUCAGAUCCACGGGGAUGUUGAAAAUAUAAUUUAGUAGCGUUUUCAGGAAGGUUGCCAAGAUUGAUUUUUUCUUUAAUGAUGUUGAUGACGGUUUUGUUGAAAGAUUUAGUAGAAUUGGCAGUUUGUUUGUCAUAGCAUGACUUUUUGAGUUGUGAACUGCCUUCUUGAAAAUAUAAAUCUUUACGCCAAUCAACAAUAGGACCACCUUUGUCUGCUGGCUUAAUAACAAUAUCAUCAUUUGAUUUAAGAUGUUUCAAGGCUUGCCAUUCCGCCUCUAGUAAGGUUGGAUGUUUUAUGCCAAGCUUUGAAAUUUACUUGAGAAAUUUGAUGUCUGCAUGUGUCUAUGUAAAGAUCCAGAGCUUUAAAUUGGCCAGGUUGUGGCCACUUUUUUUAGUUCUAUCUUCGCUUUUCAAUUUUACUUGAUAGCGGGCGAACAUUACAUCAUCAUUACAUUUACAUUUAACAACCCUUUUGGGUCAUACAAAUGUCUGCCCAGUCAACUACAAAAUUAAAAUUUACUGAGAUGAUUUCGUCAUAGGUUGUAAAAGGUAUCCGAAUUUGCCUGCAUCACAAUACUGUAUGGCAGGCUAUUCCAUACAGAAACGAUUGAAUGAAAAAAUGAAAACCUAACAGCAUCAACCCUUCCAAAUUUAAGCAUGAUCUUCAAUGAGUUAGAGUUCCUUGUCAUUGAACAACUUGCAGGGGAAAAGAAAACGUUAGGGUCCAAAGCAACCUGAUUUGUAAACAUUUUAUGAACAUAUUUCAGUUGCAAUAGUAAUCUACGUGAUUCAAGUGCCCCUAAUCAUGCCAUUGGCCAUAAACAGAGAAUGCCAGGUCAUAGAAAGUUGAAAUUCACAAUAUAAAGACAGUCUGAUAUACUAAACAAUAUUUGAUAGAGACCCAAUUCAUAUUUUGCCCCUAAGUUUUAUUGUUAGACUUGGUAGUAAGGUCCAGUUAUCUAAUUGUACCAUUGGCCAUAAAUGUGAAGCGCCAGGUCAUGGAAAUUCACAAUGUAAAGGCAGUUUGAUAUGUAUAUAGUUAUAUUUCUUGAAUAUCGCUCAACAUCUGUGGUUGUUGUGACGACACAGUUGUUAAGAUUGGCUUUUUAACAGAAGCAACAGCAACUAAAAAGUUUUCAGAGUGACUGCUACCAACAUCAAAUUGACUGAAGAAUCCUGUUAAUAUAAGAGUAUGGUGAAAUGUUUUAAGAAGUUUUUCAAGCAGUCCUGAAAGUGGCUACUAAUUUGAUGGGAAGAGGAAUAACUAGAACAUUCAAAGGCCUUUGGAAAACCACAAAGCCUAAGUGUUUUAUAAAAUAAGCUGAAAUUAUGGCCUUGUGAAAAGGAAACUUAUGGAAACUAGUAAUCUUGUGAAAAAAGGAGAGGGAACUAAACCUUAAUAGAAGUAAAAACGUUACAAGACUAUUGAGAGCAAAUAUUAUACUGAUUUUCCUUUGCGCCAAGGGAAUUCUCGUUUUCUGCCAUUGACAUAUAUUGGAACAAAUACCAGUUUGAUUGUUUGGCAGAGUUAAAGGAUCAGAAUAAACAACUUGUGAUCACUGCAGAUGCCAGACAAAACAGCAUGGCCAAUAAUGAAAAAUUUUGAAUUUAUUUUUCUUGUUGCCAUAAUUCCUGAAUAAUCAGGUAGGUGAAAGUAAACCCUAUAGAUUAAACCACUCUUUAUCAUUUAUAUUAUAUAAUAUUAUUUUAUGCAUUAUUUGAACAAAGGUGGAGUGAAAGUAGCACAAUAUGCGACCAUACUAUGUCUUAAUACAAAUUGGUUAUCUUAAGCAGUCUAACAGGAGAAAGGUAUUGGCAAUAGUUAUGGUUUUUUGAUUUGGAAAGUUCAUUUUAUCAAUUCAUAAUAGAGUUAAGUGAGAUUCGAACCAUGUUUUCACACAAUACGCUGAAACUUCAGGUUAUUACUAGUUUGAUACACUCUUUAGAAAAGAUCAAUUAGCAUUUAUAAUGCUGAUAAUAACCUUUUUGUCUCGGCAUAAUCAUGUUGGCAACAGUAAGGAACUAGAAUUUACUGGAUUCAAAAACUGUUUAUUAUGGAUUUUCAAAAGUGCUCUCUACAGUUCUACCAUUGUUUGGGAUCGUCAUGGUUAGAUUAUUAAACAGGAUUGGAGAAGAGCAACCAGAUAGACAAGGAAUUUUGCAUAACAAUCCAGCAAACUGGGUAACCGAAGUUUUUAAGGUUUAAAUCAUAAGAGUAAGGGCCACUGAUCAUUUUAAGCCCUGGGAACAUUCUGGCAAAUGACCAGAAGUUGCGUUUUCAGGGGCAUGAAAAAUGCACGGUCGGCAAAAUUUCAACUUUCGAAUUUUUCAAAUCUGAUGAUACUAUCGGAAAGAACAUGAAAAAUUAAGCAAAAGAUUUAAAAAGAGCAAUGUAAUCUGACCUAAACCAAUAAGUUAUGUCUGUGUAAACUUUUCGUUUUGUCAAACAACUUGCUUUCUUGAGUUUCCUGAUAGUUUAGACGCAAGGUAGUAGAAUUGUGCAUGUUAUGAAAAUAGCAUGAAGUUUGGUAGAAGUACACAAUCCGAUAUGCUGAAUAAGAUGAAGUUCAUAUCAAGCUUCAAAAAAGUCCCCAAAGGCUAUUUUUGGACAAGGGUACUGGUACCCAGUUCUCUUUCUGGUAUAGCACUACAACGUUCUGAACAUUGCAAGUUAUAAAGCUGAAACUUUUUUCUGACGUUAUUUAACGUGCUGGAUAAAAUGGGAUACAAAAAAGCUUCAAAAAUUUCACAAAAGCAAUUUUUAAACUAUGGUUCUUGUGCCCAGUCCUAUAUUGGGUCUUGCACUGUAACUUUGUAACUAUUCAAGUUGUAUAACUGAAACUUGGUUUCCUAACGUAAUCUGAAGUGCUAGAUAAAGUGAAAUGUAGACCUAGUUUUAAAGCUUCACCAAAGGCUUUAUUUAGACUGAGGUACUUAAACCUAGUCCAUUGCUGGCUAAUGAGGUACUUAAUGACUAUAAAGCAUGUAAUUGUAAGUUUAGUCAGAGAUCCUCAGUACCUAAGGUGGAAUUUUCAGGCACUUUUCUGGAGAAGGCCACCGGGGGUUUCUGCAGGAUAUAAGGGUUAGUAUAAUUGAUAGGAUUAUUGGGGGAAUAGGAUGCGAGAAAGCUUCUGGCAGUAUAAGCUAAACAGUUUUUCUCCUAAGGGCAUAAACAGUAGGCAUGUUGAUUUCAGGCUAUUUCUUUGCAUACAUUCUUUUUCCUUUUUAUUAUUUUUCGUCUCUUUUUUUCCUUCUGCCACUAGCACUUUUUUUAUGUUCUUUGCGUAUCUAUUAUUCUCCUUAGACAGGUGCUUUUUUCUGCUACACAUAUCAUUUGAAGCCUCUGUGAGUCUUGCAUUACCGCCUGCUUUAGCAGCACCUUCUCCUGGGCUUUCUUUUAACCCUCCAAUUGAGUUACACUUUUAACAAUAACUACUGUUACAGGAAAUUUUCCUUUAACCUCCUCACUGCAUACACUUUAUUGUACCAACACUAUUGUAUUUGAACAAUAUUUGGCUCUUGAAAGAAUCUGUUUGAUGUUGGCAGGCUCUCGUUUCGGUUAAUAAGGUUGAAUUUGGACAUCGCUUGCUUCAUUUUGGAGCUUGCGUCAAGCAUUGAAAUUGUUUCCUUUAUAACUUUGAAAAUGUUGAAGUUGCGGGGAUUGAAAGUAGCAACAAAGGAUAAUGGCUUGAUGUUCUUCUAAAGGGAUUUUAUUUGCUUGCUGAAUACUUUGCUCGAUGAGAUUUCUGGGAUAGUCUGGCUUUUACAGUGUUGAUUUUAAAUUAAGUAGGUGUGUUCUUUUUAAGUUUCUUUCUCGAUGAUUGUGCAAUAUUGUCGUGCAAGGUUGAAUGGAAUAUUUCUUUUGGUGUGUGGUGUGUGGUGUGUGGUAGGUGGCAAGAUUUAAAUUACCAUACUGUUGGCUAUCCGUGAGUUUCUGGUAAAGAUCUGUUAUGAGUUGGUUGUUUUUAACUAUCUUUACAUCCAGGAAGUUGAUAUUGUUCAAAGACUCAUUAUCGUUCUGAGUGGCACCUCUCUUUUGCCAUUCCAACAAACCAUUGUCUGUUAGGCGCUGGAAGACAGUACAAGCUUCUUGCUAACAUAAAUAGGGGUUGUCCUGUUCCUUCUGUGAUCCUGGAAUGUCUUCUUUGGCCUCUGCCUUUUUCAAAAGCAUCACAAUUAUUCUCCAGAGAGGCAAUGGUGAUGCUUUUUGAUUAAUGUCAGUUGAUGUCAGGCGGAAAAGGAUUGCAAAAAUUCUCUUCUUCAUAAGUAUAAGGCCACGAGUAUUGUCCUUUAUUGCCCUUCCAUAAUAAUAUUUUAAUUUCAAUAUCUUUUCCGUUAUUGCCCUUGCCAGUUAUUGAUUGCUUUAGUGCUUUGCAUUCUUGAACCAGUUAUGAAAUGAUGUUCCCAUUCUCAUGGACAUAUCGUUGCUACACUCUUCCUUACUCAUUUAAAUGUCUUUUUCAUAGACAUACAUCCCCUUUAAGGUGGCAGUAUACUGUAAAUAAUUUUCCAUGCACAUUUUAUUUCAUCUUGAAGAAAAAAAGGGUUCUAUUUAUCGAAACUUAAUACAAAUUUAAAGUUGAAACCAUAAAUCUUUUUCUAUAAUCUGAAAAAAAAAAUUUGGCAAAAAAGGGUGCAUUGUUGUAAUGGAAACAGGGGGCAAAUGACAAAAGGGGAAGUUUAUAGCCCCCAAAACGCUUUUUUCAUUGUAAUGUAAGAACUACACAAAAUUUGAAAAUUCUGAUAAUUCGUUUUAAUGAAGCAGCCUUUUAAAGUAAUGUGACACAUUUUCAGCUCAAAAGACAAAAAAAAAUUCAAAAUAGAUGUUUCUAAAGAUGAAAAGGUUGAGAAAACUGAUUUUUGAGAAAAACACGGUUAAAUAUUUUUGUAAGCACAAGAAUGGUUGGCUGUCAAUGGUUUUACUUAGUAGUACACGUGCUGAUAGUUAGAGGUACCUAUAGGCAAAACAUCAAUUAAAUCUGAAUUUCUAAGACAUUCUGAAGCAUUUUAAACUGUUUUAUUAUUCAAAUGUCAUCAUGAUCGACAUUUUCCUGCUCAACUUGAAAACAAGAAGUUUUCUUUUUCUACACUACUUCAACAAAACCUCUUUUCUUGCGUUUUAGUUUAGCUUUGGAGCUAUGGCUGAUUUAUCUCCUUUUUUCACUCUUCCUCCAUCUGGUCUGCUGGUUGAUCCAAAGCUACCUGCUUUGUAUGAAACUUUUUUUGCUUUACAUUUCACUUUAUUGAAUUUUAGCUGCUUGGGUUGCUUUCUAUAUUUUAAAGAUAUUUUACAUGCAGUAAUUAAUUCUCAUUUUGUCCUCAUACCUUUACCCUUUUAACAUAUUGCUUCCAAUGUCAAUACCAGCUUUUUUCAUGAUUACUGCCUUACUUGUAGCUUCAGUAUUUUCCCCACAAACUCCUUUACCUUUCUCCUACCACAAAAUGCUGCCCUCAAAAGACGAGCCCAGAGUAAGCCAUUUAGGCUUUCAUUUUGAUUCUGAGUUAGGCCUAGCGAGUAUCUAUUGAGUAAGCCUUGAGUAAGCACUUUGACUAAGCCUUGAAAAAAUGGGACCCAGCUCAGUUAAGAAGACUUUAGGCAGCCUUCCUGAGUCAGUGUACUCUUUGGUACCAUGCUGCUGGUCUUUCCAAUAUUUACACCAAGAGCCUGUAUCUUUUGGCAAAAUCUAUGUUGAAACCAAGUGAGGCAUCAUCUUCUCUUAUAAGGUGGCGUUUUAUUGCCAGAAUUGCUGUAUACAUUUCUUCCAAAUUGCCUUUAUUUUGCCUAAUAGCAAAACCGUGAUAAUGCUGCAUUCUUUUCAUCAUUUCUUUCCUCAACCUGCUAACAACUUUACCCAUUCAAUAUGAUCUGUAGACUACCACAGAAUCUAUUUCAAUGAAUCUUUUCCAAAUAAGACGGAUUUUAUUACUAUGCUGCAUUCAAAUGAUAUCACUGCUCUCUCAAAAAUUCUAAACAGAAGCACUAAUAUUGCAAAACAUCUAGAUCUCAAAUAUGUGCGUCUGGUAUUUGAUGAAGCAAUUUAUUGCAAGAUACAGAUAGUUCCAUGGAAGGAUAAUGCUUUCUGAAUAGAUUUGUUAUCAAGCUUGGUGAAUUUCACAUGGCCAUGUGUUUCCUUGGAGCUAUUUGAAAGAUUUUUAAAGAUUUAGGACUGAAGGUAAAACUUUUUGUUCUAAUUAAAUCUAGUUUUACUCGCAAACUAUCUCCAAAAAAGUGUUACACAUUUUAGGAGGGUGUGUUUUAGGAAAUUAUGUAAGGGCUCCACAGUUCUCAUCUGAUGUAAGCUACUUUAGACAGAUGGAAAAGGCCACUUUUAGAAUAAAUCAACUUGAGAGAAGAGUUUUUUUAAAGAUAAAUAUAUUAUUACAGGCAAUGUCAUAUGCAAAAGAAUAAUUCAGUUUCAAACAAGCUUAUACCCAUCCCCCUCCACAAAAUGACUGCUAUGCUCUUAUAUCAUCAAUUCAUGCUUUUUGUAUGUUUACUUUGAAAGAAAAUCAAAAUUUUUAAAUUUUCACUUCUGUUUUAGGAUAUUUUUAUUGAAUCGGAGGUGGUUUCCAUUGGCUCAUUCAAUGGUGAACUGAAAGGCAAUCAUUACAACAGAAUUGUUCGCUCUCAUAUAGUUGUCUUGGAAGCUUUGCACAGGAAGCAGUUUGAGUCAUAUUUGGAAUCACUAACCCCUGAAUCGCAUCAACAGAUUCUUUUCUUUUUGGUAAAUGCGGCAAUAACAUUUAAAGUUUUGAAAAUUUAUGUAUUUCUCAAAUUGUGGUAUCCGGUGACGGAUCAAUAAUUUGACACACUGGUUCUAUGUGAUAGCUUAUCUGGCCUUCCAUAUCUACUACCGCAGUCGAAGAGGAUGCUACAUCCGAUAAUUCUGUCGCCUCUGUAGUCAAUGGUCUAUCAGAAAUGUUUGCUCCUUUUAUGGGUUGUGGAGGUAAUUUUGUAUUGGUCUUUGAAAAAUACUUUUGAAUCUAAGGAAUCAUGUUCAACUAACAAUAAACUUUCAAAUGGGAAAACUAUGAAAUGAAAAGAACAAAGUGAGAGAAUCAAAUAUGUACAUAGCUUUGUGCAUUGCUUAAAGACAUUCUCACUUUUAUUUUGUAUUUGUACCCCAUAGAGUUUCAUUUUGGCACCUCAUGUUUGUUGCCCACCCCGGUUUUCCAUUUCCUCCGUCUAUUAGGCACCUAAGAGUAAAGGAAUGGGUCUGGGUCCAUGUCAAUAUUUGGCUUCCACGACUUUACAGAAAAUCAAUGUCUGGGGUUCACAAAUAAGAAAAUUAUUUAAAAAAAUCAAACAUGGCGGGAGAUAUUGAAGUAGUUUAAUUGUGUAUAACAUUUGUUUUCAAAGGUUUAUCAAAUGAACUGAAAAAUCAGCAUUUUGGUUGUUUUUUAUGUUUGAAAAUGCUGACAGAGAGGAAAGAGAGAAAAAGGAGUACCCGAAGAGCUACCUAAUGAUCAUGUAGUAGUUUCUCCAGCAACAAGGUUUAAGACUUGUAGUAUCUCCCCUACAUGGCAAGGCCGUAGAAAGAAGAGUUGGAGUCCCCCAUAAUUGUCAACCUGUACUAUAUUUCCUUUAUGGUAGUUUACUAAAGGGGAAGCAAUACAAUAGGCGACCCUCUGAAAUUAAAUUCGUUUUGACGACACUGCCUGUGCUCAUUGUGAAGUCUCUUGUUGCCUUGUUGUGACAGUUCAAUUUUUAUUUUCUAAAUAUCGCACCAGAGUUUUCCUUUGAUAAGCAUAGAAAGUUUUGAUAAAAACCACUCUCUGAAGGGUGUUGAUAACAAAACUGGUACAGGAAUUUGGCACUGCAAAUCCACAUUUAAAGUAUUAUGUGGGUGUGCCCCCAGGUAUUUUGAGGCAUUAUCAAUAACAUAUAUAUUCUGAGGCAUUAUCAAUAACAUAAUAUGACGUUUUUGCAAACAAGACUGGAAUUGUUAAGUGCAAAACUAUGACUAUGGCGCGCAAUAUAUAUGUCAUGUCAUUUUUAUAUAUAUAUGUAUUAUAUUGUGUCAUUUGUUUUUUAGUUAACUUUUUAAUUACCAAAAGAUUGACCUAGAUUAUUUUCUGAUUUUUUUUUGGCAUCGCUUGAGUAAUAAUCAUGCAAAAACGAUUUAUUAGAAGGACAACAGUAGUGCUAACACAUAGUGAAUCCAUACAAAAGCUCAGCUCUUUUCGAAGAAUACACAACAACUUUAGUGGGUGUCAGAAAACCCCAAUUUUUGAAGAAAGUAAGUCGCAAAUGAAAAACCUAAGUUCACCAUCGUUCCCAGUGAUGUUUCUUUGAUGGUUGAAGCGAAUAAAAAUUUAUGUGUCAUUUGCACUUCAACAUACAUUUAACAUCUAACAAAUCGAGGCCCUUUUUUGCUAUUUUCUUGCCCGAUUUUCGAGGCCAAUUCUCCAGGUCAUAUGUGUUUUCUCCUGCAUAAUGUAUUUCGCAUAUAAAUUUAACUGACAUGAUAAAAUAUCAAGCAUAUCUUAAGCUGUGUUUACACGACCCCGGAUAAAUUUUGAACUGGAUAAGAAAUUAUAUGGAUAGGCUUUCCUUUUACAUGGGUACUGGGCUAUCCAUAUGAAAAUGAAUAUCUCUCUAGCUAGACGAUCUCAAAGUUAUACAGCAUGGGCAUCGUGCCUUUAACACAACUACAACUACUUAGAUAUAAAAUAUGAAAAUUUUUGACACUGAAAAAAAUUGUAACACAGCCAACAUUUCUAGAACCUUAUUUUUCUCUUUCUGCGGGUCAUUGAAAGAUAUGGUGUGAUAAAGCUGGUGCAAGGCUGCAAUUUCAGUAAAGAAAUGACAUCGACAGGGAAGCAACAGGUGCAUAAAAUUUCAAAUGUUGUCUGAAAAGUACCUUUUUUCAUUUUUCAAUAUUUUUAAUGCAAAUAUCAAAAAUGUUGACCAUCAUCAUCAGUCAUAUUUUUAAAAGUAUUGGCCAGCCAACAAGUAUUUAGUGUAGCUUUUCAAGGGUGUUUUAUCAAACUGGUAGGGUAAAAUUUUUUUCUGCACAUUCAUUACUUCUAGGACGAGUAUCCAUGUUAGAUUCUCGUUGCUGUUUUGCUUUGUUCCUGAACUUUAUCUUUGUAUUUAAACUCAUCACAAGAUAUAUAUAUAUAUAUAUAUACAUAUGGAUGACACAAAACCCAAAAAAUAUCCCAACAUACAUAGUAUUUAGUAUUUGCCUUGCUAAAUAUUGCCAGGCUUUAAACUGCUUUAAACUGUUCUGUUUGUAUUUUACAUUUAUACUGUUAUUUUUGACAACCGAUAAUUUUUUUUAAUUAUUUGACUAUUAAAAAAAGAAGAGAAUAAAAGAAGAAUAGGAAAAAAUA
Molecule: non-coding RNA, 16409 nt
Organism: Rhopilema esculentum
Lineage: Eukaryota; Metazoa; Cnidaria; Scyphozoa; Rhizostomeae; Rhizostomatidae
Source: RefSeq, a predicted model, not a curated record